AUUGAACGCUGGCGGCAGGCCUAACACAUGCAAGUCGAGCGAGCGGCGGACGGGUGAGUAAUGUAUGGGGACUGCCCGAUCGAGGGGGAUAACUACUGGAAACGGUGGCUAAUACCGCAUACUAUCGGAUAACCCAUAUGGGAUUAGCUAGUAGGUGGGGUAAAGGCUCACCUAGGCGACGAUCUCUAGCUGGUCUGAGAGGAUGAUAAUCCCCACUGGGAAUGUGACACGGCCCAGACUCCUACGGAGGCAGCAGUGGGGAAUAUUGCACAAUGGGCGCAGGCCUGAUGCAGCCAUGCCGCGUAUAUGAAGAAGGUCUUAGGGUUGUAAAGUACUUUCAUCGGGGAGGCGUUACCGACAGAAGAAGCACCGGCUAACUCCGUGCCAGCAGCCGCGGUAAUUC
RNAcentral lists this ribosomal RNA (403 nucleotides) under uncultured bacterium. Its description in RNAcentral is "partial 16S ribosomal RNA". It matches the Rfam family "Bacterial small subunit ribosomal RNA", at positions 30 to 526 of the family's 1533-position model. The record is from RNAcentral.